Molecule: ribosomal RNA, 446 nt
Filed under: uncultured bacterium
Lineage: Bacteria
Description: partial 16S ribosomal RNA
Rfam family: Bacterial small subunit ribosomal RNA
Source: RNAcentral
CCUACGGGGUGCAGCAGUAGGGAAUUUUCGGCAAUGGGGGGAACCCUGACCGAGCAACGCCGCGUGAACGAAGAAGUUAUUCGUAAUGUAAAGUUCUUUUAACAGGGAAGAAAGAGAAAUUUGACGGUACCUGAAGAAUAAGCUCCGGCUAACUACGUGCCAGCAGCCGCGGUACUACGUAGGGAGCGAGCGUUAUCCGGAAUUAUUUGGCGUAAAGUGUGCGUAGAUGGCAUAGUAAGUCUUUGGGAAAAAUGCUGGGCUCAACCCAGUAGGGCAAAAGAUACUGCAAAGCUAGAGUAGGACAGAGGCAAGUGGAACUACAUGUGUAGCGGUAAAAUGCGUAAAUAUAUGUAAGAACACCAGUGGCGAAGGCGGCUUGCUGGGUCGAUACUGACAUUGAGGCACGAAAGCGUGGGGAGCAAACAGGAUUAGAUACCCUAGUAGUC